UUUUGCUAGGUUUUCAUUUGUUAAGUCCUUAAUUUUGAUAAUUGACAAAUUGUAUUUUGGGGAUCAGUUGCUACCACUUAGGGAACAGAUUGGGCUCACCUGUCACUAUUACUGUCAACUGUCACACCUGACGCAAGUACAAAAAUUGGUGAAAAAACUGUUACCACCUUUUUGUCUCAGUCAAUGGGAUUGCUCUUAGGUUUUCUUGUGUCAUACUAUGUAUUGCUCAUCUUCCUCAACAAGACAACCAGCGCUUCCAUAUUCUCACAUCAAAAUAUCUUUCUGAAGCUGAAUAAAAGACUCCAUUUGCAACAGGGAACUGAUAGCUCAUAAAGUUGGAUUUUAUUUCCUUGUUGUAUUUGAUCUUUGUACUGUGUUCUUAAACGUUUGCCUACAUUUGCUCAUUAAGUGUGGCAAGGGAAAAGCUGGAUCAAUGCAGCAAGUGUUCAACAUCACAACUCUUGAAGAUACUGAUUGCAUUCCCAGGAGGAGUGGUGGAAAGUCCCACUCCCUAGUAUCUUAAUUGAUGGAUGAACAGAAGAGAUCGAAGGAAGAAAUAGAGACUCUGACUACCAUGAUUGCUCUAAGGGAUGCCGAGAUUGUUGUAUUGAAAUUUGCUUUGGCAAAAGGAGGUGAAGUGAGAACAAGGUAUGAAAAGGAAUUAUGCACUGAAAAUGCUGCCCUGCAAGAAAGGGUAAACGAG
Molecule: long non-coding RNA, 703 nt
Filed under: Capsicum annuum
Lineage: Eukaryota; Viridiplantae; Streptophyta; Magnoliopsida; Solanales; Solanaceae
Description: long non-coding RNA (CANN_LNC018266)
Source: RNAcentral